RNAcentral lists this ribosomal RNA (253 nucleotides) under uncultured bacterium. RNAcentral describes it as "partial 16S ribosomal RNA". It matches the Rfam family "Bacterial small subunit ribosomal RNA", at positions 524 to 776 of the family's 1533-position model. The record is from RNAcentral.
UACGGAGGGUGCGAGCGUUGUCCGGAAUCAUUGGGCGUAAAGGGCGCGUAGGUGGCACGAUCAGCGUGCGGUGAAAGCCCGGGGCUCAACUCCGGGUCGGCCGUGCGAACUGGGGGACUGGAGCUUGUCAGAGGCAGGCGGAAUUCCGGGUGUAGCGGUGGAAUGCGUAGAGAUCCGGAAGAACACCGGUGGCGAAGGCGGCCUGCUGGGACAGUGCUGACGCUGAGGCGCGACAGCGUGGGGAGCAAACAGG